Molecule: transfer RNA, 73 nt
Filed under: Listeria monocytogenes
Lineage: Bacteria; Bacillati; Bacillota; Bacilli; Caryophanales; Listeriaceae
Also listed under: 1 other name
Description: tRNA-Val
Rfam family: tRNA
About the family: Transfer RNA (tRNA) molecules are approximately 80 nucleotides in length. Their secondary structure includes four short double-helical elements and three loops (D, anti-codon, and T loops). Further hydrogen bonds mediate the characteristic L-shaped molecular structure. tRNAs have two regions of fundamental functional importance: the anti-codon, which is responsible for specific mRNA codon recognition, and the 3' end, to which the tRNAs corresponding amino acid is attached (by aminoacyl-tRNA synthetases). tRNAs cope with the degeneracy of the genetic code in two manners: having more than one tRNA (with a specific anti-codon) for a particular amino acid; and 'wobble' base-pairing, i.e. permitting non-standard base-pairing at the 3rd anti-codon position.
Source: RNAcentral
GGAGGUUUAGCUCAGCUGGAGGAGCAUCUGCCUAACAAGCAGAGGGUCAGCGUUGCGAUCCCGUUAACCUCCA